RNAcentral lists this ribosomal RNA (21 nucleotides) under Manilkara longifolia. RNAcentral describes it as "partial 26S ribosomal RNA". The record is from RNAcentral. Lineage: Eukaryota; Viridiplantae; Streptophyta; Magnoliopsida; Ericales; Sapotaceae.
UUGCGACCCCAGGUCAGGCGG